GUAGAAUUGAUCACAAUGAGGAGUUCUUCACCUUUAAAUUCAAGUAAAGGGGGUAUGAUAAUCGACCUCCUUCUUUCUUGGUGUAUGCACCUUGUAGAACGGCAGUGGUCUAUGCUCUAGCCGGAACCUCUUGAUGGAUAAGCUUAACUGUGCUCUUUCUCUCGAAUUUCAUGUCUGGAAUCGAAACCAAGACCAACAAGCCCUUGAGGACUUUGAAUUGAGGAUCAUUAGAAUAGGAUAACCUUUCGUCACUGCUGAAUCGAACUAACUGCCAACAAGAGCAAUAAGAUGGGCCCUCUUCUAUUUAAUAUAUUAAAUUCCGAGAAUUAGCAUAUAGUGAUGUUCGAAAACCCUGUGCCAG
RNAcentral lists this unclassified non-coding RNA (361 nucleotides) under Hevea brasiliensis (rubber tree). The record is from RNAcentral. Lineage: Eukaryota; Viridiplantae; Streptophyta; Magnoliopsida; Malpighiales; Euphorbiaceae.